This 497-nucleotide ribosomal RNA is filed under the name Anaplasma phagocytophilum. RNAcentral describes it as "bacterial SSU rRNA". It matches the Rfam family "Bacterial small subunit ribosomal RNA", at positions 81 to 613 of the family's 1533-position model. Lineage: Bacteria; Pseudomonadati; Pseudomonadota; Alphaproteobacteria; Rickettsiales; Anaplasmataceae. The record is from RNAcentral.
AUAGAGAAUAGUUAGUGGCAGACGGGUGAGUAAUGCAUAGGAAUCUACCUAAUAGUAUGGGAUAGCCACUAGAAAUGGUGGGUAAUACUGUAUAAUCCCUGCGGGGGAAAGAUUUAUCGCUAUUAGAUGAGCCUAUGUUAGAUUAGCUAGUUGGUAGGGUAAAGGCCUACCAAGGCGAUGAUCUAUAGCUGGUCUGAGAGGAUGAUCAGCCACACUGGAACUGAGAUACGGUCCAGACUCCUACGGGAGGCAGCAGUGGGGAAUAUUGGACAAUGGGCGCAAGCCUGAUCCAGCUAUGCCGCGUGAGUGAGGAAGGCCUUAGGGUUGUAAAACUCUUUCAGUAGGGAAGAUAAUGACGGUACCUACAGAAGAAGUCCCGGCAAACUCCGUGCCAGCAGCCGCGGUAAUACGGAGGGGGCAAGCGUUGUUCGGAAUUAUUGGGCGUAAAGGGCAUGUAGGCGGUUCGGUAAGUUAAAGGUGAAAUGCCAGGGCUUAAC